UUUUGGACAAUGGGCGCAAGCCUGAUCCAGCCAUUCCGCGUGAGUGAAGAAGGCCUUCGGGUUGUAAAGCUCUUUCGCAAGGGACGCCCCACUCACUUUUUAAUAAAGAGUGAGGUUGACGGUACCUUGAUAAGAAGCACUGGCUAACUACGUGCCAGCAGCCGCGGUAAUACGUAGGGUGCGAGCGUUAAUCGGAAUUACUGGGCGUAAAGCGUGCGCAGGCGGCUUUGUAAGUCAGAUGUGAAAUCCCCGAGCUCAACUUGGGAACUGCGUUUGAAACUACAAGGCUAGAAUAUGUCAGAGGGGGGUAGAAUUCCACGUGUAGCAGUGAAAUGCGUAGAGAUGUGGAGGAAUACCAAUGGCGAAGGCAGCCCCCUGGGAUUAUAUUGACGCUCAUGCACGAA
RNAcentral lists this ribosomal RNA (404 nucleotides) under uncultured bacterium. RNAcentral describes it as "bacterial SSU rRNA". It matches the Rfam family "Bacterial small subunit ribosomal RNA", at positions 362 to 757 of the family's 1533-position model. The record is from RNAcentral.